UACGUAGGGUGCGAGCGUUAAUCGGAAUUACUGGGCGUAAAGCGUGCGCAGGCGGUUCGUUAAGUCAGAUGUGAAAGCCCCGAGCUCAACUUGGGAACUGCAUUUGAAACUGGCGGGCUGGAGUGUGGCAGAGGGGGGUGGAAUUCCACGUGUAGCAGUGAAAUGCGUAGAUAUCAGGAGGAACACCUGUGGUGUAGACAGCUUACUGGACCAUGUCUGACGCUGAGACACGAAAGCGUGGGUAGCAAACAGG
Molecule: ribosomal RNA, 253 nt
Filed under: uncultured bacterium
Lineage: Bacteria
Description: partial 16S ribosomal RNA
Rfam family: Bacterial small subunit ribosomal RNA
Source: RNAcentral